AAUGUUCACCGCUACCAACUUAGAAAUAAAUUACUUAUAAACUUCCUAAACCGAACACGGACUUUCUUAAGAAAUCAAUCUCCUUUCAAGCUGUUAGUCUAUGGAACGGACUGAGCCUUGAACUGAAAAUUAGUAGAACGUUUAAAGAAUUUAAAAAGUCUGUUAAAGCACUUAAGUUGUAAUAGAUGUGUGUAUAAUAGUUUGGGUCAUGCAAGUGUCAAAUAAUGUGAUUGUUUGUUAUGUGUUUUUAUGUGAACAAUUAUGCUUUAGUGAACAGUUACUCUAUAGUCAUGUUUUCGUGGAAUUUGUUAC
Molecule: non-coding RNA, 312 nt
Organism: Paramuricea clavata
Lineage: Eukaryota; Metazoa; Cnidaria; Anthozoa; Malacalcyonacea; Plexauridae
Source: the annotation of a GenBank genome assembly